AACACGUAAAGAACCUACCUUAUAGACAGGGACAACUAUUGGAAACGAUAGCUAAUACCUGAUAAGAAAGAAACUCGCAUGAAAGAAGUUCGAAAGUCGGAGCAAUCUGACACUAUAAGAUGGCUUUGCGGUGCAUUAGCUAGUUGGUAGGGUAAAAGCCUACCAAGGCGACGAUGCAUAGCCGACCUGAGAGGGUGAUCGGCCACAUUGGGACUGAGACACGGCCCAGACUCCUACGGGAGGCAGCAGCG
RNAcentral lists this ribosomal RNA (251 nucleotides) under uncultured Gemella sp. RNAcentral describes it as "partial 16S ribosomal RNA". It matches the Rfam family "Bacterial small subunit ribosomal RNA", at positions 112 to 356 of the family's 1533-position model. Lineage: Bacteria; Bacillati; Bacillota; Bacilli; Caryophanales; Gemellaceae. The record is from RNAcentral.